AGAAAAUUGAUUUCUCUGCUAAGAUCAAACACCCAAAAAAAAAAAAAAGAAUGGAAUAUUGACUGUCAGUCAAAUAAACACUUUGCAAGUUUUCAGGUCAAAGAUAGAGUAGUAAACGAAAACUUUAGUUGAAAAUAGACCCAAAAAAUACCAAAUAGUCACAGUAUUUAUCUUACAACAUUAAUUCCAGGGUCGAUUUUGUUGAAAUGUGUUCAAAACAGUUCUUUUUUUUUUCUUGGUCGGUGUAGGCUGCCGAGUUUUUUUCUAUCAUCAGCCUGACAUUUCAUUUCUACAAGGUGGCAAAUUGUGGCACUUAGUUCACUAAGAUCAAUUGUACAGGAAAAGUGACGUGCACUCGAAUACAAUAUUUACAAUUUUUAAAUAUUUGGAUUUUUUUAUAAAAUAAAUAAAAAUAAAGAUGAAUUAAAAAAUUAAUAAUUGAAUUAAUUGAGCUAUUUUUA
RNAcentral lists this long non-coding RNA (461 nucleotides) under Durio zibethinus. RNAcentral describes it as "long non-coding RNA (DZIB_LNC001751)". The record is from RNAcentral. Lineage: Eukaryota; Viridiplantae; Streptophyta; Magnoliopsida; Malvales; Malvaceae.